AAGUCGUAACAAGGUUUCCGUAGGUGAACCUGCGGAAGGAUCAUUAUCAAAAGUCAAGUCGGGGGCUGCAAAGCCUUCGUCUACACCCAUGUCUUUUGCGUACUUCUUGUUUCCUCGGUGGCGCAAGCCGCCGAUUGGACAAACCAAAACCUUUUUUGUAAUUGCAAUCAGCGUCUGAAAAUAAUCUAAUUAUUUACAACUUUCAACAACGGAUCUCUUGGUUCUGGC
This 228-nucleotide unclassified non-coding RNA is filed under the name fungal sp. Its description in RNAcentral is "partial internal transcribed spacer region". The stretch from base 1 to 46 matches the Rfam family "Eukaryotic small subunit ribosomal RNA", at positions 1786 to 1831 of the family's 1831-position model. Lineage: Eukaryota; Fungi. The record is from RNAcentral. RNAcentral also lists the same sequence under 1 other name.